AAGUUGUAACAUCCGUUCCCUAUGAUCACCAAAGUUAAGCAACAUUGAGCUUGGUCAGUAGCUAGAUGGGUGACUGCUUGGGAAUGCCAGAUGCUGUAAG
Acanthosepion pharaonis is the source of this 100-nucleotide non-coding RNA. Lineage: Eukaryota; Metazoa; Mollusca; Cephalopoda; Sepiida; Sepiidae. The record is from the annotation of a GenBank genome assembly.